UAAACUUAGUGGCGAACGGGUGAGUAACGCGUGAGUAACCUGCCCUGGAGUGGGGGACGAACAGUUGGAAACGACUGCUAAUACCGCAUAAGCCCACGGAUCCGCAUGGAUCUGCGGGAAAAGGAUUUAUUCGCUUCAGGAUGGACUCGCGUCCAAUUAGCUAGUUGGUGAGGUAACGGCCCACCAAGGCGACGAUUGGUAGCCGGACUGAGAGGUUGAACGGCCACAUUGGGACUGAGACACGGCCCAGACUCCUACGGGAGGUAGCAUG
This 271-nucleotide ribosomal RNA is filed under the name uncultured bacterium. RNAcentral's name for it is "partial 16S ribosomal RNA". It matches the Rfam family "Bacterial small subunit ribosomal RNA", at positions 87 to 353 of the family's 1533-position model. The record is from RNAcentral.